This 119-nucleotide ribosomal RNA is filed under the name Pteropus alecto (black flying fox). RNAcentral also lists the same sequence under 1 other name. The record is from RNAcentral. Lineage: Eukaryota; Metazoa; Chordata; Mammalia; Chiroptera; Pteropodidae.
GUCUAUGGCCAUGCCACCCUGAACAAGCCCAAUCCCAUCUGAUCUCGGAAGCUAAGCAGGGUCGAGCCUGGUUAGUACCUGGAUGGGAGACCACCUAGGAAGACCAGGUGUUGUAGGCA